AGCAGCGCGGCUCAGUGGAAAGAGCACGGGCUUGGGAGUCGGAGGAUGUGGGUUCAAAUCCCACCUCCGCCA
This 72-nucleotide transfer RNA is filed under the name Ornithorhynchus anatinus (platypus). It matches the Rfam family "tRNA". From Rfam's summary of the family: Transfer RNA (tRNA) molecules are approximately 80 nucleotides in length. Their secondary structure includes four short double-helical elements and three loops (D, anti-codon, and T loops). The record is from Rfam by way of RNAcentral. Lineage: Eukaryota; Metazoa; Chordata; Mammalia; Monotremata; Ornithorhynchidae.